AUUGAACGCUGGCGGCAUGCUUUACACAUGCAAGUCGAACGGUAACAGGUCUUCGGAUGCUGACGAGUGGCGAACGGGUGAGUAAUGUAUCGGAACGUGCCCAGUAGUGGGGGAUAACUACUCGAAAGAGUGGCUAAUACCGCAUGAGAACUGAGGUUGAAAGCGGGGGAUCUUCGGACCUCGCGCUAUCAGAUGAGCCUGCGUAGGAUUAGCUUGUUGGUGAGGUAAAGGCUCACCAAGGCGACGAUCCUUAGCUGGUCUGAGAGGAUGAUCAGCCACACUGGAACUGAGACACGGUCCAGACUCCUACGGGAGGCAGCAGUGGGGAAUAUUGGACAAUGGGCGAGAGCCUGAUCCAGCCAUGCCGCGUGCAGGAAGACGGCCCUAUGGGUUGUAAACUGCUUUUGUACGGGAAGAAACACCCCCUCGUGAGGGGCGUUGACGGUACCGUAAGAAUAAGGAUC
RNAcentral lists this ribosomal RNA (464 nucleotides) under uncultured bacterium. RNAcentral's name for it is "bacterial SSU rRNA". It matches the Rfam family "Bacterial small subunit ribosomal RNA", at positions 30 to 494 of the family's 1533-position model. The record is from RNAcentral.